RNAcentral lists this ribosomal RNA (274 nucleotides) under uncultured bacterium. RNAcentral's name for it is "partial 16S ribosomal RNA". It matches the Rfam family "Bacterial small subunit ribosomal RNA", at positions 523 to 796 of the family's 1533-position model. The record is from RNAcentral.
AUACAGAGGGUGCAAGCGUUAAUCGGAAUUACUGGGCGUAAAGCGCGCGUAGGCGGUUUAUUAAGUCGGAUGUGAAAGCCCUGGGCUUAACCUGGGAACGGCAUUCGAAACUGGUAGACUAGAGUAUGAUAGAGGAAAGUGGAAUUCCAGGUGUAGCGGUGAAAUGCAUAGAUAUAUGGAGGAACAUCAGUGGCGAAGGCGGCUUUCUGGAUCAAUACUGACGCUGAGGUGCGAAAGCGUGGGGAGCAAACAGGAUUAGAAACCCCGGUAGUCC